AUUAUUCUAGUUUAUUUUAGAACUAUUAAUUUGCAUUUAAUAAGAGGAGUCCCGAAUGAU
Molecule: transfer RNA, 60 nt
Filed under: Siboglinum ekmani
Lineage: Eukaryota; Metazoa; Annelida; Polychaeta; Sabellida; Siboglinidae
Description: tRNA-Ala
Source: RNAcentral